UAAUACGAAGGGGGCUAGCGUUGUUCGGAAUUACUGGGCGUAAAGCGUGCGUAGGUUGUGUCGCAAGUCAGUGGUGAAAUCCCGGAGCUUAACUUCGGAACUGCCAUUGAAACUGCGAUGCUAGAAUCUCGGAGGGGGUAGCGGAAUUCCAAAUGUAGGGGUGAAAUCCGUAGAUAUUUGGAGGAACACCGGUGGCGAAGGCGGCUACCUGGACGAGUAUUGACACUGAGGCACGAAAGCGUGGGGAUCAAACAGG
Molecule: ribosomal RNA, 256 nt
Filed under: uncultured bacterium
Lineage: Bacteria
Description: partial 16S ribosomal RNA
Rfam family: Bacterial small subunit ribosomal RNA
Source: RNAcentral